GACGAACGCUGGCGGCGUGCUUAACACAUGCAAGUCGAACGGAAAGGCCCUGCUUGCAGGGUGCUCGAGUGGCGAACGGGUGAGUAACACGUGGGUGAUCUGCCCCUUAUUUUGGGAUAAGCCUGGGAAACUGGGUCUAAUACUGGAUAGGACCAUGCUGUAGGUGGUGUGGUGGAAAGAUUAGUUUCGGUAAGGGAUGAGCUCGCGGCCUAUCAGCUUGUUGGUGGGGUAAUGGCCUACCAAGGCGUCGACGGGUAGCCGGCCUGAGAGGGUGGACGGCCAGAUUGGGACUGAGAUACGGGCCAGACUCCUACGGGAGGCAGCAGUGGGGAAUAUUGCACAAUGGGCGCAAGCCUGAUGCAGCGACGCCGCGUGGGGGAUGACGGCCUUCGGUUUGUAAACUCCUUUCAGCCAUGACGAAGCCCUUGUGGUGACGGUAGUGGUAGAAGAAGCACCGGCUAACUACGUG
This 469-nucleotide ribosomal RNA is filed under the name uncultured bacterium. Its description in RNAcentral is "partial 16S ribosomal RNA". It matches the Rfam family "Bacterial small subunit ribosomal RNA", at positions 28 to 507 of the family's 1533-position model. The record is from RNAcentral.